AACGCACAUUGCGCCCACCAGCACUCUGGUGGGCAUGCCCGUCUGAGCGUCAUUUCAACCCUCAGGGCCCGUCCGCGGGACCUGGCGUUGGGGAUCAGCCUUCUGGCUGGCCCUGAAAUCUAGUGGCGGUCCUUCCACGACCUCCCCUGUGCAGUAGUGAUACCUCGCAGCGGGAUAGUGGUCUGGCCAUGCCGUAAAACCCCCUACUUCUCAAGGUUGACCUCAGAUCGGGUAGGAAUACCCGCUGAACUUAA
This 254-nucleotide unclassified non-coding RNA is filed under the name uncultured fungus. RNAcentral's name for it is "partial contains 5.8S ribosomal RNA, internal transcribed spacer 2, and large subunit ribosomal RNA". The record is from RNAcentral. Lineage: Eukaryota; Fungi.